Long non-coding RNA from Bubalus bubalis (water buffalo), 786 nucleotides. RefSeq lists it as uncharacterized. The record is from RefSeq and is a predicted model, not a curated record. Lineage: Eukaryota; Metazoa; Chordata; Mammalia; Artiodactyla; Bovidae. The transcript has 2 exons.
CCCUGAGUUUUGGUGGGCACUGUCUAUUAGGGCAAUGUCUGCUAAGAAAUGAAAGGGAGGCAGGGAAAGAAGUUCAGGCUGCUCACUAGCAGAUGGGAGGAGCAAGGCUCUUCCCACGGCAGGGACAACUGUCUGUGGAAGAAACUCCUCCCCACAAACCCACGGGAGGAGGAAUGCAGACAUUUCUGCAGGGUUGCCUUCCUUCAGCCAGCAGGGGCAGAAUGGACUCCGUCCUUGAUUAGCCUCUGCAACAGCUCCUUUACUAGGAUAAACAGUUACACGCAGACAUCACAAAAGGAUGCUGGCUCUCCCGACCUCUCCACUAAGAGUGGGUCCUGGGAACAGAGUGAUUCUGUUUAAGAGGACUUCAUCCUGAGCUCAAGACUGAGUGCCUACAGGUCAGUUUGGCCUCAGCGUUAAUGCCCAAGCUCCUGUCCUCAUUUGACCGUGUGCAAACUCUGCUGUGUCAUCUCUCAUGUGGUGGAAAAUGGAGGGAUGUGAAACUGGAGAGGAAUCUCGAAGUGUUUUAGCUCUUCACAGAAAGAGAAGCCUGCGUGUCGUGACCGCAGAAGCCCGUGAGUGCCACACUUAGGGAAAGCUUGUGCACCUCAACGGAAAGCCCGUGCGGCCAAAAACGGUGCCCUAGCAACAGGCUGUUAUCACCUGUGAUGCCACCUUUUUUAAAAGAGAUAAAAAUCAUACAAAAGCAUCAUCCUUGAACCACCCUAUUUGCUUUCUUGCUGAUGAAAAUAAACGCCAGGGUCAGUCUUUGGCAACACUGAGAAG